This 167-nucleotide ribosomal RNA is filed under the name Ribes bracteosum (stink currant). RNAcentral describes it as "5.8S ribosomal RNA". The stretch from base 6 to 148 matches the Rfam family "5.8S ribosomal RNA". From Rfam's summary of the family: 5.8S ribosomal RNA (5.8S rRNA) is a component of the large subunit of the eukaryotic ribosome. It is transcribed by RNA polymerase I as part of the 45S precursor that also contains 18S and 28S rRNA. Lineage: Eukaryota; Viridiplantae; Streptophyta; Magnoliopsida; Saxifragales; Grossulariaceae. The record is from RNAcentral.
CAACGGGAUAUCUCGGCUCUCGCAUCGAUGAAGAACGUAGCGAAAUGCGAUACUUGGUGUGAAUUGCAGAAUCCCGUGAACCAUCGAGUCUUUGAACGCAAGUUGCGCCUGAAGCCAUUCGGCCGAAGGCACGUCUGCCUGGGCGUCACGUACCCAAUCGCCCCCCC